UACGUAGGGUGCGAGCGUUGUCCGGAAUUAUUGGGCGUAAAGGGCUCGUAGGCGGUUUGUCACGUCGGGAGUGAAAACACCGGGCUUAACUCGGUGCUUGCUUCCGAUACGGGCAGACUAGAGGCAUGCAGGGGAGAACGGAAUUCCUGGUGUAGCGGUGAAAUGCGCAGAUAUCAGGAGGAACACCGGUGGCGAAGGCGGUUCUCUGGGCAUGUCCUGACGCUGAGGAGCGAAAGUGUGGGGAGCGAACAGG
This 253-nucleotide ribosomal RNA is filed under the name uncultured bacterium. RNAcentral's name for it is "partial 16S ribosomal RNA". It matches the Rfam family "Bacterial small subunit ribosomal RNA", at positions 524 to 776 of the family's 1533-position model. The record is from RNAcentral.